RNA transcript from Lathyrus oleraceus (garden pea), 2050 nucleotides. RefSeq lists it as uncharacterized. The transcript is spliced from 5 exons. Lineage: Eukaryota; Viridiplantae; Streptophyta; Magnoliopsida; Fabales; Fabaceae. The record is from RefSeq and is a predicted model, not a curated record.
GGUUCAAUUUAGCGUGGCGUUAGUCAAAAGACAUGAACAAACAGUAAUGGUGUGCGUGAAGUUGCAAGUGGAACGCGGGAAAGGAAUCAAUCAAUUCUUUCAAUUUUGACCCAACACGAUACCAUCAUCAUAUUAUUAUUCCUUUCUUUUUUAUUCAUCUUCACCAUCAUCAAACACUUCUCUUUUUCUUCUUAUUCUCUUCUCACAGCAACGUUUACUUCCGUUCACCGUUUUUUCUUCAAAUCAUCAAUGUAUCCAAAGGUGAAAUUAGGACAGAAAGAUGAAUACGACGGUGGUGAUGCACGAGAACUUGUUGGUUUGAAAGCUUUCCUCUCUCUAUCCUUCCACUCACCUAGUUCUCCAGUAAAGGACCAUAAAGUUCUCUCUGCGCCGUCUAUUGUCAAAGUACCAAACUGUUACGUGCCACAAGUGUCAAUUCCAGUAGUAUCUGUAACCCAAGAUUUUGGGGACUGUAGUUUGACAUCCGAUUCUUCAGGUUCUCCUGAACCAGAGAAGGAUGGAGACACUGAUGAGAGUAAACUAUAUAUUAGAGCCAAUUUGAUUCCACGAGUAUCUGUUACUCAAGAUUUUGGAAAUGGCGGUUUGACAUCCCAUUUGUCAGGACCAGGGGGACUAGAGAAGGAUCACAGACCUGAGAAGGAUGGCAAUACUGAUGAUGAGAAUAAACUAAACAGUAAAGCCAGUUCAAUUCCACGCCCCCGUGCUGUCAUUUCAAGUCCUGAAUAUCCUCCCGAAAAAGUAAGGAGAAUGCUUAUUGUCUCUUAUUUCCCCAGCUUUCACAACCUUCUAGAAGUUCUAAGUGCGCGUAACUUGGGCCCACUAAUCGAGUCAUCCAACCCAUUGGGCUAUGGUGCACUAUCAUUGAGAUUCUCUCCAUCACUACAGUGUAUAAAGUCAUAUAAAUGUUUGUGUAUGUCACAUGUUAUAAACUUGUGUGCCUAUAUACACACAAAACUAUAGUAAUGAAACUCUCCAUUUCUUUUGACAAAUGGAGAAGAUCCCUAUUCUUUGUGACCCCUUUUCAGAAAACUCACUGGCUUUAAAUCAGUCUAAAGCUUUUGCUCAUCGGAAGGAUGAAAAGAAUUAUCCUUGUGAAGAAAUUAAGAUAAGGCCAACUGAAAGCAAAGAGGGCAAAGAGCUUUCCUUAGCUGCUGUCACUUUUGUUUGAGCAGCCCAUUUGUUUUUGGUGCAUCUCAAUGUUCACUUUAUCCCAUUGCAAGGGUUCUCAUUGUGGGUGCAGUAGGUGGUUUCUUAGGUCUUCAUUCUCCUGUUCUCAAAACCUGAAUAGCAAAACUAUCGUAUGUAGGUUGGUUUUCCAUCAUUCUAUUUUAAAUUUAAUGCAAAUUAACACAUGAAAUGUCAUUGUGAUAAUAGUUCCAAGAAUCAUGUGGCCAAUCACUUUUCGUUCAAAUAAACAGCAGGGUUUGCUUCAAAACAUAUGAGAAUGACCUAUUGAUUGGGAACAGAAACAAGAUUGGAAAUGGAAGACUAUCUGCUCCGAAGAAUAGUAUUGUUUCACCAAAUAGACAUUCUCUUGCUCAAUGUAAAGUGAAAUCACUUAACACUUCUGAUAUUGCUUUAGACACAAGAAAUUGCGUAGAGCCUAAGUCUAAAGAUAAAACUGAUCCUGUAGGAAAGAAAAAGAUCCACAAAGGCAUCACAAAAUCUGAUAAUUUACAUAGGCCCUGGAAGUUUUAGUUUCAACGUAGUAUGAUCUUAAUCUAGAAAUAGGUUCUCUCUCAAGGAAAAGGAAAGAAUAAUAUAGUGCAUGUUUUUGAUGGAAACAUGAUUACAUGCUUAAUACUUCAGCAUUGAUUUUCAAUGCUUACUUGUGUGUGCUGUGUGGUUGUAAGCUUAUUAAGCAACAAGCCAAUGCCUGAGGGAUAAUAUAUUCAUAUUUGAGUUUUUUUAGAAAGAGUGUUUUAGGAUAAAGAAUUUGAUGUCUGUUAUCUUAAUAUAUUAGUAUAUCAAAGAGAUAAUUUUUUUUUUUCAUAAUAUCAAAUGUUGAAAAGAUAAUAUUUCAAAUGAA